RNAcentral lists this ribosomal RNA (252 nucleotides) under uncultured bacterium. RNAcentral describes it as "partial 16S ribosomal RNA". It matches the Rfam family "Bacterial small subunit ribosomal RNA", at positions 524 to 776 of the family's 1533-position model. The record is from RNAcentral.
UACGUAGGUGGCGAGCGUUGUCCGGAUUUACUGGGCGUAAAGGGAGCGUAGGUGGUUUCUUAAGUCAGAGGUGAAAGGCUACGGCUCAACCGUAGUAAGCCUUUGAAACUGGGGAACUUGAGUGCAGGAGAGGAGAGUGGAAUUCCUAGUGUAGCGGUGAAAUGCGUAGAUAUUAGGAGGAACACCAGUUGCGAAGGCGGCUCUCUGGACUGUAACUGACACUGAGGCACGAAAGCGUGGGGAGCAAACAGG